Molecule: ribosomal RNA, 440 nt
Filed under: uncultured bacterium
Lineage: Bacteria
Description: partial 16S ribosomal RNA
Rfam family: Bacterial small subunit ribosomal RNA
Source: RNAcentral
CGGGCGGCUCCACCAGUGAGGAAUAUUGCACAAUGGGGGGAACCCUGAUGCAGCAACGCCGCGUGGAGGAUGACGCAUUUCGGUGUGUAAACUCCUUUUAUAUGUCAAGAAAAUGACGGUAGCAUAUGAAUAAGCACCGGCUAACUCCGUGCCAGCAGCCGCGGUGAAUACGGAGGGUGCAAGCGUUACUCGGAAUCACUGGGCGUAAAGGACGCGUAGGCGGGUUGGAAAGUCAGGUGUGAAAUCCUACAGCUUAACUGUAGAACUGCACUUGAAACUUCUAAUCUAGAGUAUGGGAGGGGGAGAUGGAAUUAGUGGUGUAGGGGUAAAAUCCGUAGAUAUCACUAGGAAUACCUAAAGCGAAGGCGAUCUCCUGGAACAUUACUGACGCUAAGGCGUGAAAGCGUGGGGAGCAAACAGGAUUAGAUACCCGAGUAGUC